Long non-coding RNA from Sycon ciliatum, 1078 nucleotides. RefSeq lists it as uncharacterized. NCBI's taxonomy places the organism in Eukaryota, Metazoa, Porifera, Calcarea, Leucosolenida, Sycettidae. The record is from RefSeq and is a predicted model, not a curated record. The transcript has 4 exons.
CCCUUGAGGGCGGCCUUUGUAGCUGGGGGCAUGGCCGCCAGAGGUGGGCCAGCCCUACUACACGAUACUAACUAACUAAUACUGCUAGUGGUCCUCUUGGCCACGCCGACGGGCUGCCAGAGACUGAAAAACUGCGGAGCUCAAAAAUUUGCUUCCACUUCAGAAAAAAAACUGCUUUGAAUCUGGGUGUGAAAUGCCCUUCGUUUUCCUUUUUCAUGGUGACACUAUAGCCGCUCAGCACUGUGAGUUUUAUUUUUGCUGCCACUACGUUUGCUAUUCGUUUACCUCGAAAAUGGCUGGCAGGGAGACCCCGACGAGUUCGCGUACAGAAGCCGUCGAUGUAUUAGCAUAUGCCAGGGAGCCACAGUACACGAGCGAGGAGCUCCAGAGUUUGCGUGACGGUGGCGAUGAGCACGUUGAAAACGAGGAGGAAGCUGCUGCUGCUGCUGCUGCUGCUGCGAGCGUCGAAGAAGCCUGGCCUCCCCACACCAGAGUCGGCAACAGUUCCUGGUGUGAAUGUACAUGCUGCGUGCAGAUGGAGUGUAGACUGGACUGCAUAUGCUGCCGUGAAGUGGAUGCUGUGCUGCAGUUCCUCUCAGGCACAGCACCGAACAGUGCGUGUCUGAGACAGAGGAAUUCAAAACCGGUUGCCUAAAUAAACACGUUUUGACCAUCGCCUUGCGCGGAUACCUGGACAUGACCAAGCAGCUCUGUAACCAGCCGCCGACACAUUUUGACAAUAGAUCAUUCAGAUAUGCUGCCUACCGACAGGUAACGUGGAUGAUCCAUGGGAAAAUGGGUCGUGGUGUAAGAUGUCGUAUCCCAGCCUGCCUUGUGGGAGCAAUACGUCAGUGCUUUCCAAACCCUCCAGGUGUACCGUACCAUGGGUUUGAAGAAGCCAGAGAUGAGGAGGCUACUCAGUGGCCUGAAGAUUGACACCAUAACUUUUAUGAGGUUUGCGACAACUGUUGCCUUGACUGGGGCCCCGCGUCGCGACACGUUGACAGGCUUACACUUCUGGAUGGCUGGGACUGUCAGCCUCUUCGUGGCCACAUCACUGACCUGCUGCAUCAUGCUG